GUUAUAGGGUCAAGUGACUAAGAGCAUGUGGUGGAUGCCUUGGCGAUGAUAGGCGACGAAAGACGUGAUAGCCUGCGAUAAGCUUCGGGGAGCUGGCAAACAAGCAUUGAUCCGGAGAUUUCUGAAUGGGGAAACCCACCUCGCAAGAGGUAUCGCAUGAUGAAUACAUAGUCAUGCGAGGCGAACCGGGUGAACUGAAACAUCUCAGUAGCUCGAGGAAAAGACAUCAACCGAGAUUCCGAAAGUAGUGGCGAGCGAAAUCGGAGGAGCCUUCUAGUGAUAGCACGACUGUUAGCAAAGCGGAAUGGAAAGUCCGGCCAUAGUGGGUGAUAGCCCCGUAUGCGAAAAC
RNAcentral lists this ribosomal RNA (349 nucleotides) under Rhizobium leguminosarum bv. viciae. RNAcentral's name for it is "partial 23S ribosomal RNA". It matches the Rfam family "Bacterial large subunit ribosomal RNA", at positions 1 to 386 of the family's 2925-position model. The record is from RNAcentral. Lineage: Bacteria; Pseudomonadati; Pseudomonadota; Alphaproteobacteria; Hyphomicrobiales; Rhizobiaceae.